RNAcentral lists this ribosomal RNA (254 nucleotides) under uncultured bacterium. RNAcentral's name for it is "partial 16S ribosomal RNA". It matches the Rfam family "Bacterial small subunit ribosomal RNA", at positions 524 to 776 of the family's 1533-position model. The record is from RNAcentral.
UACGUAGGGUGCGAGCGUUAUUCGGAAUGACUGGGCGUAAAGCGUGUGCAGGCGGUCUGUUAAGACCGAUGUGAAAUCCCCGGGCUUAACCUGGGAACUGCAUUGGUGACUGGCAGGCUUUGAGUGUGGCAGAGGGAGGUAGAAUUCCACGUGUAGCAGUGAAAUGCGUAGAGAUGUGGAGGAAUACCGAUGGCGAAGGCAGCCUCCUGGGCCAACACUGACGCUCAUGCACGAAAGCGUGGGGAGCAAACAGG